Molecule: ribosomal RNA, 396 nt
Filed under: uncultured bacterium
Lineage: Bacteria
Description: partial 16S ribosomal RNA
Rfam family: Bacterial small subunit ribosomal RNA
Source: RNAcentral
AUACGUAGGGGGCGAGCGUUGUCCGGAAUGAUUGGGCGUAAAGGGCGCGUAGGCGGCGCGGUAAGUCUGGAGUGAAAGUCCUGCUUUCAAGGUGGGAAUUGCUUUGGAUACUGCCGCGCUUGAGUGCAGGAGAGGUUAUCGGAAUUCCCGGUGUAGCGGUGAAAUGCGUAGAAAUCGGGAGGAACACCAGUGGCGAAGGCGGGUAACUGGACUGCAACUGACGCUGAGGCGCGAAAGUGUGGGGAGCAAACAGGAUUAGAUACCCUGGUAGUCCACGCUGUAAACGAUGAUGACUAGGUGUGGGGGGACUGAACCCUUCCGUGCCGCAGUUAAGACAAUAAGUCAUCCACCUGGGGAGUACGGCCGCAAGGUUGAAACUCAAAGGAAUUGACGGGG